UCAGUCGACUCCUACGGGGAGGCAGCAGUGGGGGAAUAUUGCACAAUGGGCGCAAGCCUGGUGCAGCCAUGCCGCGUGUAUGAAGAAGGCCUUCGGGUUGUAAAGUACUUUCAGCAGUGAGGAAGGUGGGGUAUGUUAAUAGCAUACUCAUUUGACGUUAGCUGCAGAAGAAGCACCGGCUAACUCCGUGCCAGCAGCCGCGGUAAUACGGAGGGUGCGAGCGUUAAUCGGAAUUACUGGGCGUAAAGCGCAUGCAGGUGGUUUGUUAAGUUCAGAUGUGAAAGACCCGGGGCUCAACCUCGGAAUUGCAUUUGAAACUGGCAAACUAGAGUACUGUAGAGGGGGGUAGGAAUUUCAGGUGUAGCGGUGAAAUGCGUAGAGAUCUGAAGGAAUACCGGUGGCGAAGGCGGCCCCCUCGGACAAAGACUGACGCUCAGAUGCGAAAGCGUGGGGAGCAAACAGGAUUAGAUACCCUGGUAG
RNAcentral lists this ribosomal RNA (480 nucleotides) under uncultured bacterium. RNAcentral describes it as "bacterial SSU rRNA". It matches the Rfam family "Bacterial small subunit ribosomal RNA", at positions 328 to 793 of the family's 1533-position model. The record is from RNAcentral.